RNAcentral lists this long non-coding RNA (711 nucleotides) under Bos taurus (domestic cattle). RNAcentral's name for it is "long non-coding RNA NONBTAT025569". Lineage: Eukaryota; Metazoa; Chordata; Mammalia; Artiodactyla; Bovidae. The record is from RNAcentral.
GGGUACAGUGUGAUUGCUUUGGGAAUUCAGAGUAGUAAGCUUGUUUCAUGAGGAGCAGCAUGCAUUAAUUAUUUUUAUAAGGUAAACUACUACUUCAGGCAACUCUGGAUUGAGCUUUUAGUGGAAUUGGAAAAAAACCAAACAAACCAAGAUUAAAGGUUAAUGGGAUUGUGAACUUUAAGAGUGCUCAGUCAGUGAAGGUGCCGAUGGUGGGAUGAUAAGCUUAAGAGAUAAUAAAGAAAUUGACAGUUUGAGUUUUACAGCUUAAAAGUUACUUUUAUACAUUCAAAAGAUUCUUGUUAGAACUAUUUGUGUUCAGACAGGAUGAGUUAAUUUCAAAAAAGAGGAGUAAUUAAGCCCAUGUCUUUUUUUCUAAAACCGAGUAGGUAAAUACAGUUUUGAUCACAUAAGAAAAGGUGUUUAUUUAAUAGUCAUUUUGUUAUAAUACCUUACUUCAAACAAGCUACUAAAAUAAAGGAAAAUAUGCUUUCCCAGCUACAACAGAGCCUUAGUGUGCUGUGUUACCCACGUGCCAGUGUGCACGUCUCUCUGAGAGAGAGAAAGGUUGGAGGACACAGGGUGUGUUUUCUUUAGAAACUGUAUUAACAUGGACUGGAGUGGGAUGCAUUGCACGAGAUCAAUAUGCAAUACAAACUGUUUGGAAGGAUCGAAAACUGUGGUGAAGACAGGCUUAAACCCAACUACUUAAAC